UACAGAGGGUGCUAGCGUUAAUCGGAAUUACUGGGCGUAAAGCGCAUGUAGGUGGAUAUUUAAGUCGGGCGUGAAAGCCCCGGGCUCAACCUGGGAAUCGCACUCGAUACUAGAUAUCUAGAGUAUGGUAGAGGGAAGUGGAAUUUCCGGUGUAGCGGUGAAAUGCGUAGAUAUCGGAAAGAACAUCAGUGGCGAAGGCGACUUCCUGGAUCAAUACUGACACUAAAGUGCGAAAGCGUGGGGAGCAAACAGG
RNAcentral lists this ribosomal RNA (253 nucleotides) under uncultured bacterium. RNAcentral's name for it is "partial 16S ribosomal RNA". It matches the Rfam family "Bacterial small subunit ribosomal RNA", at positions 524 to 776 of the family's 1533-position model. The record is from RNAcentral.